Molecule: ribosomal RNA, 253 nt
Filed under: uncultured bacterium
Lineage: Bacteria
Description: partial 16S ribosomal RNA
Rfam family: Bacterial small subunit ribosomal RNA
Source: RNAcentral
UACGUAGGUGGCAAGCGUUGUCCGGAUUUAUUGGGUUUAAAGGAUGCGUAGGCGGCCCUGUAAGUCAGUGCUGAAAUAUCCCAGCUUAACUGGGAGGGUGGCAUUGAUACUGCGGGGCUAGAGUACAGAUGAGGUAGGCGGAAUUGACGGUGUAGCGGUGAAAUGCUUAGAUAUCGUCAAGAACACCUAUAACGAAGGCAGCUUACUAGGCUGUAACUGACGCUGAGGCACGAAAGUGUGGGGAUCAAACAGG